RNAcentral lists this ribosomal RNA (253 nucleotides) under uncultured archaeon. Its description in RNAcentral is "partial 16S ribosomal RNA". It matches the Rfam family "Archaeal small subunit ribosomal RNA", at positions 474 to 726 of the family's 1478-position model. The record is from RNAcentral.
CACCAGCGCCACGAGUGGGAGCCGCGUUUAUUGGGCCUAAAGCGUCCGUAGCAGGUCUUAAAAAUCUCUUGUGAAAUUGUGUAGCUUAACUAUACAACGUGCAGGAGACACUAUUUGACUAGGGACCAGGAGAGGUUAGGAGUAUUCUUGGGGGAGCGGUAAAAUGUUAUAAUCCCAAGAAGACUACCAGUGGCGAAGGCGCCUAACCAGAAUGGGUUCGACUGUGAGGGACGAAAGCCAGGGGAGCGAUCAG